This 281-nucleotide ribosomal RNA is filed under the name uncultured prokaryote. RNAcentral describes it as "partial 16S ribosomal RNA". It matches the Rfam family "Bacterial small subunit ribosomal RNA", at positions 524 to 803 of the family's 1533-position model. The record is from RNAcentral.
UACGUAGGGGGCUAGCGUUAUCCGGAAUUACUGGGCGUAAAGGGUGCGUAGGUGGUUUCUUAAGUCAGAGGUGAAAGGCUACGGCUCAACCGUAGUAAGCCUUUGAAACUGGGAAACUUGAGUGCAGGAGAGGAGAGUGGAAUUCCUAGUGUAGCGGUGAAAUGCGUAGAUAUUAGGAGGAACACCAGUAGCGAAGGCGGCUCUCUGGACUGUAACUGACGCUGAGGCACGAAAGCGGGGGGAGCAAACAGGAUUAGAUACCCUGGUAGUCCCUGAGCGGG